RNAcentral lists this ribosomal RNA (484 nucleotides) under uncultured bacterium. RNAcentral describes it as "partial 16S ribosomal RNA". It matches the Rfam family "Bacterial small subunit ribosomal RNA", at positions 30 to 507 of the family's 1533-position model. The record is from RNAcentral.
AUUGAACGCUGGCGGCAGGCCUAACACAUGCAAGUCGAGCGGAUGAAGGGAGCUUGCUCCUGGAUUCAGCGGCGGACGGGUGAGUAAUGCCUAGGAAUCUGCCUGGUAGUGGGGGAUAACGUCCGGAAACGGGCGCUAAUACCGCAUACGUCCUGAGGGAGAAAGUGGGGGAUCUUCGGACCUCACGCUAUCAGAUGAGCCUAGGUCGGAUUAGCUAGUUGGUGGGGUAAAGGCCUACCAAGGCGACGAUCCGUAACUGGUCUGAGAGGAUGAUCAGUCACACUGGAAGUGAGACACGGUCAAGGCUACUAAGGGAGGCAGCAGUGGGGAAUAUUGGACAAUGGGCGAAAGCCUGAUCCAGCCAUGCCGCGUGUGUGAAGAAGGUCUUCGGAUUGUAAAGCACUUUAAGUUGGGAGGAAGGGCAGUAAGUUAAUACCUUGCUGUUUUGACGUUACCAACAGAAUAAGCACCGGCUAACUUCGUG